GAAUUUUGGACAAUGGGCGAAAGCCUGAUCCAGCAAUGCCGCGUGCAGGAUGAAGGCCUUCGGGUUGUAAACUGCUUUUGUACGGAACGAAAAGCUUUGGGUUAAUACCCGUGGGUAAUGACGGUACCGUAAGAAUAAGCACCGGCUACGUACGUGCCCGCAGCAGCGGUAAUACGGAGGGUGCAAACGUUAAUCGGAAUUACUGGGCGUAAAGCGUGCGCAGUCGGUUUUUGAAGACAGAGGUGAAAUCCCCGGGCUCAACCUGGGAACUGCCUUUGUGACUGCAAGGCUAGAGUACGGCAGAGGGGGGUGGAAUUCCGCGUGUAGCAGUGAAAUGCGUAGAUAUGCGGAGGAACACCGAUGGCGAAGGCAACCCCCUGGGCCUGUACUGACGCUCAUGCACGAAAGCGUGGGGAGCAAACA
This 423-nucleotide ribosomal RNA is filed under the name uncultured bacterium. Its description in RNAcentral is "partial 16S ribosomal RNA". It matches the Rfam family "Bacterial small subunit ribosomal RNA", at positions 359 to 774 of the family's 1533-position model. The record is from RNAcentral.